Passer montanus (Eurasian tree sparrow) is the source of this 3845-nucleotide long non-coding RNA. RefSeq lists it as uncharacterized. The transcript has 3 exons. NCBI's taxonomy places the organism in Eukaryota, Metazoa, Chordata, Aves, Passeriformes, Passeridae. The record is from RefSeq and is a predicted model, not a curated record.
GUCCUGCCCCUGCCCUUGUCGCCGCCACUGCCCCAGCUCCUGCCUCUGCCCUUGUCCCUGCCCCUACCCUUGCCUCUGCCAUUGUCCGUGUCACUGUCUUUGCACUUGCCCCUGCCACUGCUCCAGCUCCUGCCCCUGCUUCUGCCCUUGUCCUUGCCCCAGCUCCUGCCCCAGCCCUGUCCUUGUCCCUGCCCCAGCCCGUCUGCCUCCUUUCCCGGCCCCUGUCCGUAUCUGGCAGAACCCUGCCACUGCCCACGUCCCCUCACCUGGCUCCCUGAUUCCUCCUGACCCACGCCCGCCUGGCCAUGACCCUGUGUCCAUGUGACCCUUCCCAUCCCAAGUUUACAGCGGAAAAGCCUGUCGGGCAGGGCUCUGAGGUGCAGCUGUUUUAGCCCCAUGCUGCUUUACAAGGAAUAUGCUGCUGAAGGAGACAGGAAGAAUAAAUUCAGCAACAGAAGAGAUGAAGAAGAUGGUGAAAUUGUGCCUGACAUUAUGAUUGAGCUCCAAAGGGGGCUAACUCAGAACUGAGUAGAAAUUUUCCUUCCACAGACUUCUCCUACAAGCAAAUAAAACCUGCCCCCACUGCAGGGAGAGCUAGGGACUGGUGGAAGAUGGGUGCAUGGUGAAACAUAAGGAGCAUUUCCACCAGCAUCAUGCAUGCUGCCGUCAGAGUGUCAGCUGUGGCUGCGGAUUCCCUGCCUUCGUUAUCUGUGUGAGUGUAGCUGCUUAUCGCCCGGGCACCGCCGCGGUGGCCACGCGCAGCUGGGGACGCUGGAGGUGCACCGAGAGGCUCUGAUGGAGCAGCAGAUCCCUGCCCGUGCUCAGCUCUGCACACACCAUCAUUGCCCUCAAGCAGGGCUGGGGCAGGGGGCACAUUGGCUGCAGGGUGGGCUUCUGCAGGAUUGGGCCCACAGCCUGUUAAAGACACACAGAUAAAUCUGAGCCGGACUCAGCUCUUUGGAUUUAUAAAGGGGGCUCUUUGGAUUUAUAAACAGCAAUAUGCUGCUGUUACGAAAGCUAUUUCAUUUAGUGCCAUCUUACAUUCAGCAAUUUAAUUAUUCUCUUAAUUAUUGAAACAUUCAUCAUAGUUUUCCAAUUGAUUCAUGAGGGGCUGGCUGCACUUCUUUAACUCAUUAAUAUAGUGACAGAAAAUUGACAGUCUUUUUGCUAACCUCCUGUCUCUGAAUGGUAAUACAGGGAAUAAAAAACCUUGAGGGUUUUUCGUUGUUGGUUUUUUUUUUUUAAUUUUUAAAAUUUGUAUUAUUAUCACCAGCAAUAACUAUACUCAUAAAAGCCUCAUUUAAUAGCAAAGGAACAGAACGAUAUAUGAGGAAACUCUAAUUGUCAAUGGUUUUGAUAGUGAAUUUUGCAAACUAAUAUCUUUCUGAGACCACAUUUUUAUUAUGAAAUGGGUGAUAAAGCAGAGAUAAUUCUAAAUCCAAACACAUGUUAUAUGAAAUAGAUAAACCCAAGAUAAAAAUUAAUAGUGACCUUGCAUGCUGGAAUAUAAGAAAUAUAAUCAAGCAUAUAUAUCAGUCAUGGCUGGAAAAAGACAGGGAGAUGCCCACAGGUGAAAUAUUAAUUUACAGAGUUUUAAAAUGCAUUCAGAAUAAAAUCUGUGACAUCUUUCUUCCCUCCCUUGUCCUGAUUCUGAGCAUUAUCAUUAUUGCCUGUCUGCAAAACUGCUACCUUAAAACAUAUUCCUAACUUGCAUCAAAAGAAAGAUUUCCUUUUUUCUUUUUUUCUUCUAUCUCCUUUAUUUACAGGCUGUUUAACUAAAGGCACAACAUACUAUGUCUCUAUAAUUUUUUUGCAACUAUCUGCUAUUUAUUUCAAUUUUAUAGUUUUGAGAAUGUCUGGUGCUGCCCUCAAAGACUGCUCUCAAAUUCAUCAGUUUUCUCUCAGGAGAGGUUGUCCAGAGUUUGAAGCAUACAAGGUUUCAUCUUAAUGCUUAUAUGAGUACUUCUGCCCUUGGAUAUUAUUCUCAUCUUCACAAUACUAUGCAAAUCGACAGCUACUUCCCUGUGCUUCCAGCUAGGACUUCUGAAUAUAGUGUGAGUAGCUGGAAAAUAGCUAAAAAAAGCUUCAGAAAUAUAAAAGUUCAGCCCUGAGCAUGUCUAUAUGUGUGUGUAUAUAUAUGGAUGUGUUUGUAGAUGUGUGCACUAGUCAUAUACUGUAGUUUGAAAAGUGGAUCUGUGUAAAUCAGUGCAUUUAUUUAGCUCUCUUACCAACUCUCUCCCUGAGUUAACACCCCAGCACACACAAUGCUAGCGAAGGUGAUUAUCUCUGCUAGCAUAAUUCCUCCGUAACAUCUGCUUUCGCCCAUAACACUCCACUAAUUUUUCCCUCAUUUCAUUACACAUAAUUUUCUUUCAACACAAUCUACAUGUAUUAAGUGGUAAUGACUUUCCAGUUAAGAGCAAAUCGACGCCAAGGGACCCCCCCCUCGAUUGCCUGCCGUGCCUGACUCCGGCUAUUAAAGAUAAAUUUGGUGCCUCAGAAAGCUGCAGUAAGCUAAUCAAUCAAUUAAGCGGUUAGGACAUACAUUAUCAAAAUUCCACAGUGCGGGGGUGCAUGGGAGCAUGCUGACAUACUUGGUAUGAUUUUAGAAAUAAAAAAAAUUUUGAGGUUGAAAGUCAGUAUUCAGUCUUGUGAAAUGAAAACUCCAGCUAUUGCACACUACAAGAGCAACUUUGGUGUCUGUGCUGGUACAAUUUCCUCUGCAGCUUUUAUACCUAGUGCAGUUUACUAGUGAUACCAGAAUGGAGCUGAUGACACAGUAAAAUCUAUUUUUAAACGAUAUGAAGAUUCUGGUGCAGAAUAAGGCAAUGCUAUUCACAGUUAAGCUGGAUGUUCUGUCCCUAAGUUGUCAUUGUGUCUCUAGGAACUGCCACAGCCUUAAAACACUGAUUAAUAUUCUGUAUUAUGUGUGUUGCAAAAAGGUGGUUUAAGGACAGAACGGCAGCCAUCACAGCCUGUUGUGUCAAGUUUUAUUUUCAACAUUGCUUUAAUAUUAAUUCUGAGUUUAAUUUUGGAGAGUAUUUAAAGCUAGUAAAAUAGAUUCUAAAAUAAACUGAAAAUUCUGUUGGACUUUUUUUGUUUUCUAAAAAACAGCUCUUAGUGAUGUAAUAUCCUUUGCAGCACUGACUUAUAAAACAUCUUCAAUCCACCCAAAAAAGUUACAUUCACUAAUAAUCAAGUUGCAUUUGAAUGUAAGGAAAUGGUAUACACAAUAUCACUUACAAGAUCUUCAUUACUUUGUUUUUCUGUGUUAUCUUAUUGUGUGGUUCUUUAUAUGGACAAAUGACUUAAUCAGUUAAAGGUUUUUUAAAUAUAAAAGUAUUUUCUCUUGCAUCGUGAGGAACAGCUUGUAUGCCAAUAUAUAGCCAAAUGCAAAGGAAAUUGAAACAAAACCCCAAAGACCAUAGGAAUCAUACAAGCAAAUUUUAUAGCUCUGUCAGGAUUAAUACAAAAGGAGAGAUAAAUAGAACUUUAUAGCAGGAUUCUGAACAAGACAAAACAUGAAAAAAAAAGAGACAUAUUUUCUGAGCAAUCAGUAAAUUUAUAAAAUAUGUAAUAUAAAUGGAUCAUUAUAAGACUUUGCCUGUUACUUUUCCUGUCAGUUUUAAGCAUAUUGCCUAAAGCUUUGUUAUCGUAGUAUUGUGGUUAUCAGAUGAAACGACAUGGCAAAACUCCCUGCUUACUUUUCCAGAGUGUUUUCCUCACUUUCUGCAAAUUACAUUGGAGCAUAUUCAGUGCAUACGCUUCUACUAGUGGAAAAAACCAUAACAUCUUUUUACUGUCUAAAUAAAUAUUCCUUAGCAAAAAAGAAGCACGUUGUCAAA